CGCGUAGGUAACCUGCCUGGUAGCGGGGGAUAACUAUUGGAAACGAUAGCUAAUACCGCAUAAUAUUAAUUAUUGCAUGAUAAUUAAUUGAAAGGUGCAAUUGCACCACUACCAGAUGGACCUGCGUUGUAUUAGCUAGUAGGUGAGGUAACGGCUCACCUAGGCGACGAUACAUAGCCGACCUGAGAGGGUGAACGGCCACAUUGGGACUGAGACACGGCCCAG
Molecule: ribosomal RNA, 225 nt
Filed under: uncultured bacterium
Lineage: Bacteria
Description: partial 16S ribosomal RNA
Rfam family: Bacterial small subunit ribosomal RNA
Source: RNAcentral